GGGUGGGGAGCUCAGUGGUAGAGUGUGUGCUUAGCAUGCACAAGAUCCUGGGUUCAGUCGCCAGCACCUCCA
RNAcentral lists this transfer RNA (72 nucleotides) under Camelus bactrianus (Bactrian camel). It matches the Rfam family "tRNA". From Rfam's summary of the family: Transfer RNA (tRNA) molecules are approximately 80 nucleotides in length. Their secondary structure includes four short double-helical elements and three loops (D, anti-codon, and T loops). The record is from Rfam by way of RNAcentral. RNAcentral also lists the same sequence under 3 other names. Lineage: Eukaryota; Metazoa; Chordata; Mammalia; Artiodactyla; Camelidae.